CUACAAUAACAUAUAGUGCGAUUCUGGUAGAGUAUCCUUAAAAAAAGAAAAAAAGAAAAAACAGUUUUCAAGCUUAUUUUAUGGUGGUUCAGGCUUCUCAGUGCGUACUUUUUUUUUUUCAGGGAGCUGCAGGCCUGUCCUGUUGGGCAAUGGGGCUGUGAACUGAUGCUGGUGGGAUUCCUGCGUUGGGCAAUGGAAGCGUUAAUCCAACAGUCAGGAGGUGUGGUUGUGAAAGAGCCCAGCUGGGCCCUUAGUACACACCAACAGAAGGAUAUGGAACAACCACGUAGUUGCAUGGAGCUGCAGUUGCACCACUUCCUCCCCUCUAACAAGAUAGGGCUCAAAGGAAGCAAUCAAGUAUCUGCAGGCUGCUUGCUUUCUCCUGCAGCUCUGAUAAGAGAAUCCUGCUUGUUUGCAAGGCCCUGCUUGGACACACGGCUUUGGUUUAGCAGCAGUAACAUGUAAAGGGAGAGAGUCAUGGCCUUGGCAAACCUCUGGUCCCAAAGCCUUUGUGUUUGGGGUGGCUGGUGAGUGCUCUUGGGGGGGAGGAGGGGGAAGAAAACCUCUUGUAUUGGACAACAUCAGGCAGGGAAGAUCGUGUGCCCGGCCUGCACGACUCUGCUCGGAGCUCCCAGCAGAGGGUGCAGCUGCUUCUCGAGUCUGCACAGCUGAUCCCGAGGGUGUGCUCAGCCCUCACUUCCCUUUAUUUUAAAAGAAAAAAAGAAGGGAAGAAGAGAUUUCAGGGGCUUUCUGCUGUCUGAAAACUGGAAUUAUUUAAUGCCCACAUCUCUCUAUUUCAGAGAAAUGUGUAACAGUGUUAUUGAAGAGUUCCUAGAAUGAUCUAUAUGCAGCUGCGUGGAAUGCCUAUCAGUAGACAGCAGGGCAAGCAGUGGACAGGAGGUUUGUUCUCAGAGUCUGCACAGUGUUUGUAACAAGGGUAGGGCAUUGCUUUCCCUGUGUUAAGAUCUCUUAUAUGACCACAGACCCGGGCCUGAUGCUGGAGGCUGAGCGGUUCAGGGCUGUGUUACUCUCAUAGCAGUGGGCUUUGUGCUGAGCUCACUCGCUGGCAAGCAGUGUGAUGCAAAUGCCAGAGCUCCAGCAGGUUCCUGACCCCCUUUGCAGUGGUGCAGGAUUUAUUUAUUUUACAGCGCUGGUUAUGAUUGACAGCAAUUGGCAUGGGAAUAAUGAGGACUGCAAAAGUCAUCUGAUGGCUUGCAAAACCUCCUCUGCAAAUAUUCAACAUGCAAACAGUACAUCUCAGAUGGGAAUGGGGAUUUCAUGGUCUUUUUAAGACCUGGAACAUGAACUGAG
Molecule: long non-coding RNA, 1311 nt
Filed under: Coturnix japonica (Japanese quail)
Lineage: Eukaryota; Metazoa; Chordata; Aves; Galliformes; Phasianidae
Description: lncRNA (ENSCJPG00005005187.1)
Source: RNAcentral